This is a long non-coding RNA of Equus asinus (donkey), 2539 nucleotides long. Lineage: Eukaryota; Metazoa; Chordata; Mammalia; Perissodactyla; Equidae. The record is from Ensembl.
CCUCACCUGAGCGAGCCGCCCAAGCGACAGGCAUCUCGUCGGGUCGUUGAACAAAGCUGUUCCCGGCCACAGGGCGCCGGGCACCGCAGCUCAGAAAGGCAGCAAUGAGGCUGACCCACAGGUUCGAGACUCCUCCGGGCUGGCCUUGGAGGCCCACGAUAGUCAUCCCACAUAUUCCUCUUCUACGCUGGACUCUUAGGAAAGUCAAAUGAAUCGUGUAUUUGAAAGAGACAGACUUUCCUGUAUAUGGGAAAGGGUCAGUGGUUUUCCCAACGCUGUCAGGACUCUGGUGUGAGACACAGUCUGAAAUAACUUAUUCCAUCCGAAUGAAGGAAGCGACUUCUAAUUUUUUCCAUGACACAUUUAUUCCCAUUUUGUCUUCGUCUGAGGGCUAAGGUUUUUCUCUGUGGAAAAACUCCAUUUUGAGAUGAAGUCUGAUGAAAGAGAAAACCGAUGCAGCAGUGUCAGUUAAUUCAGAGCCCAGGGCUGCUUUCAAAAGUGGGGCUUAGUAUGACCCCAGAGACAGCCGACUUCAACUCAAAUGACCUUGGAAUCUGACAGAGGGCAUUUCAGUUUCAGAAAUCUUUUGCAACAUACAAGUAACUAUUUCAUGAAAAAGUUUUUGGAAAGCUCAACAACUGCAUCACGCAUCGUUCUCUGCUGAGCAUUUUCAUCUGCAACCUGAUGAUGACUGGACUAGGAAUCGUCUCGUAAAGGGCACCUUGGUGGUGCGUGGAGCUGCCGACGGGCACUUUGCAGCUGAGCACGCACGUUCCUGGUCAGAAACCCACCGCUCUCCUCCUGACACUGGCUUUUGCCAACCAAGGGAGGAAGCUGUCCAUCAAGGGAGGCAGAGAGAAGCGCCUGCCCACUUGAGAUGUGCACGGCAGCCCCACACCCCUGGCUGGAGGUGCUUCCCUUACAGGAGCUCGCUCCUUGCCUUGGCAGCUGCUCCCAGAGGGAGAACAGGCUGCUCCCUUGGAGGUGCCAGGGACAGUCACCCCUGGCCUGUGCAUCAGUACUAGAAAGAUGAGCGGGAGACCUGUGUCCGUAGGCCUCUUGUAUCUCCUCUCUGUCCCCCGGCCCGCAGCUACCUGGGUGUUCUCUCCAAGUUGUCACACUGCCUCCCGCCAAUUAGGUGCAUGUCCUCUGGGAGGGACUAAGGCUUAAAACUACUGCCUGCUGAACGCUUUGCUUUUCAGCCAUCUGGAGAAUGCCUGCCCAUCACUAUGAAACACCUUCACUGGAGAAAGAUGAGAAGUCUUUUUUUGAAGAAAGGGGCACCAAGGGAGAGAAAAGUCAAAAGGCUAUAACAUGCCUUAUUUAGAAAUAUUUUGGGACCAGAAUCCAUCGUAUUGCUAUUCCUUUCACACAGACAGGUCUCUGAGAUCCCGUGAUGGACAGGGCUCCAGUAAGCAGCCAGUGUGCCAAGGGACUCCCCUUACCCCCGCCCCACCUCCCCCUGCCGAAUGAAGACAUCAAAGAACAUGGUACCACAGGGAUGGCAUAAGAGGAAUGGUGGGCAUAAUUUGGCACUUUGUUCAGUUCCAAAAUACAACAAAAUAGCUCUACAUUUUUUUUUUUUUAAAUUUUAGCUUUUACAAUCAGUGCUAUAUAUUGCAAUUCAUAGCUUUCUGGGUGGCUUGCAAGAAGUUUAAUCCCUUUUCUUCAAGGCCAGCCAGGCAGUCCCCUAGUUAUCACAUGCCUUGGUACAGGGAAUGGGGUCUGUGUGUGCAGAAAGGUACUGAGGUCUCUGCACACCUAGAAGCUAGAGAAGAGGGUACACAGAGCCCAGGGCUGGCCGGCAGAAAGGAGCCCCCCACGUGCGUGGGAGAUGCAGAAGAAUAUGUGUAAAGAAGGCUUUAGAAAGUAGGAGAAAUCCCAGGGAGGUUGCAUUCAGCUCUACACUUCUGCUUAUACCCGUGCAUUGGCUAAAAACCAGGUAAGAACUCAGCUUGGCUCAUCCAGGUCAGAGCUCAGCACCAACCACGGGCUGUACCUCUGGGGGUAAGAGCCACAGGUAGGGCCCCGCUCCAGGACUGCUCCACAGCAAAGAUCUCCCCCUCCUCGUGUCCCAAAGCUCUGAGUGGGGGUGGAGUUAGCCCCUCAUCACUUCAAUCUGUUUUGACUAGUGAUUUAACCCAAGGGUCAAGGGCCAGGGAGAUCUGCUGAAGAGAAAACCUCCAGGAUGCUCCAGGACUGCACCCCAACCAUCAUUUAAGUACACAGUGAACCCGCUCAAGUGGUCGAGCAGCCCUGGGCUCACCAGGGCCCCUGGGCAAUCCAUCCAGAGCUCAGGGCCGGGCCUCCUGGACCACGCCAGAGCAUCAUCUCAUGGCCCAGGGUGCCUGCAGGUGAAGUGACAGGACACCAGGGAGGAGCAAUGAUAUGCUGGGGGGAGGAUGCAAGUACAUUUCUGUACUUAAAAAAAAAAUGCCCUUUCCUGGCUGACCUUCCAGGUACUAAAACAUAUAUUAUAGCUGGUGCUGUGGCUCGUAUUGAUUGGUAAUCAUAAGGCGAAAUUAAAUGACGCUCUUUU